This 2157-nucleotide unclassified non-coding RNA is filed under the name Sitophilus oryzae (rice weevil). Its description in RNAcentral is "ubiquitin-like-conjugating enzyme ATG10, transcript variant X2". The record is from RNAcentral. Lineage: Eukaryota; Metazoa; Arthropoda; Insecta; Coleoptera; Curculionidae.
GCCCGCUUUACACCAGCGAAAAGGCCGGCAGCCGAGUCGGGGGGAGCUUUGCGCGCCGCCGUAGCCCAGUUUGCACCGGUGUGACAGAGGCGACGCACGGUCGAACGCUAGACAGAGAGAGAAAGAGCGAAUACGGGUGUGCGGAGGUGAGAGGGGGGAGGAUUGGCGCGGCGUUGAAAUCGGCGAUCGCGACGCCCAUAGAUCGCGCCACCGACCGCCGAAUAUCGCGUUGGGAUCGCUCGGGGGGAAUUUCGUUGAAUGGGAAGGAUAUGGUGAGGACGGAGACGUCAAGAUCAAAUCAGCAUGGACACUGGAUUUUCCUAUGACAAUUUUGAAAAGUGUAUAACAGAAAUUGUCAACGUUUCCAACAAACUUUUAGAUGGUUGGAAAAUCGAAUCUAAACAAGACUGUGACGCGAAAUUUAUGACGAAGAAACAUUCCACCUAUUUAGACGGACUUGACGGCUCCAAAACAUUGGUUACAUUCGAGUAUCAUGUAGCUUAUAGUCUUAGUUAUGGAGUUCCAGUGUUGUGCUUCAAUAUUUGGAGACAAGAUGGAACGAUGUUAACAAUAGAAGAAUAUUGGUCACUGAACCAAAGCUUGAAGGACUCUAACAUGCACGAUACUCUGACACAGAUGGACCACCCGGUUUUGUGCAGGCCAUUUUUGACCCUCCACCCUUGCAAAACUUCCGAAUUCUUCCAACCCUUUUUAGAAAACAGCAAAAAUCCAGUGGUGUCGUGGCUGAGCGUCGUGGGUAGUUUCGUGCAUUUACAACUUUUAGAAGACUAUAUAAAGUGUUGUUGAUUUAGGGUUUGAGAAAGAUAAGGCCCAACAAAAGCAUUUCCUCUUUAUAUUUAUUUAGGGUGCUCCCUAACAACAGGUUUCAUUUAAAAGGCUGCGUAUUUAUAGAUUUCUAAGGAUAAAUAUGUAAACUUUCCACUUAUAAACAUAAAUUAUUUGUUUCUGCUUCAUUUAGACCCUCGAAAUUAGUAGUUUCAAUUAUAUAUCUUUAUACUUAUGAGUUUACGAUCAUUCACAAUGUUUAAAAAAUACAAUUAAGUUUAAUAAAUCCUAGCAACAGCUGGCUGUAGUCAGUGGCAUCCAUAGAAAAAGCUUAAUAAUUAGCUACAAAACAAUAAACUUUUGAUUUCUAACGAUAAUUUCUUUUUACGGAUGGUAAUCAAAAGUAUUCAAAAGCUAAAAUGACAUUACUCGGAAAUUUUGAAGCAAAAUUAGUGGAUAAAUUAAAAAGUUUGAUAACGGCAUUCACAGGCAAGAGUUUUCUACCAGCGGCUCUUUCUCAAUAGAAAUAAUGUAUAAGCUUAGCGAGUUCUUGUUCAAAGGCUAAAAUGACAUUACUCGGAAAUUUUGAAGCAAAAUUAGUGGAUAAAGUUAAAAGUUUAUUAACGGCAUUCACAGGCAAGAGUUUUCUACCAGCGGCUCUUUCUCAAUAGAAAUAAUGUAUAAGCUUAGCGAGUUCUUGUUCAAAGGCUAAAAUGACAUUACUCGGAAAUUUUGAAGCAAAAUUAGUGGAUAAAGUUAAAAGUUUGUUAACGGCAUUCACAGGCAAGAGUUUUCUACCAGCGGCUCUUUCUCAAUAGAAAUAAUGUAUAGGCUUAGCGAGUUCUUGUUCAAAGGCUAAAAUGACAUUACUCGGAAAUUUUGAAGCAAAAUUAGUGGAUAAAUUAAAAAGUUUGAUAACGGCAUUCACAGGCAAGAGUUUUCUACCAGCGGCUCUUUCUCAAUAGAAAUAAUCUAUAAGCUUAGCGAGUUCUUGUUCAAAGGCUAAAAUGACAUUACUCGGAAAUUUUUUGAAGCAAAAUUAGUGGAUAAAGUUAAAAGUUUGUUAACGGCAUUCACAGGCAAGAGUUUUCUACCAGCGGCUCUUUCUCAAUAGAAAUAAUGUAUAAGCUUAGCGAGUUCUUGUUCAAAGGCUAAAAUGACAUUACUGGGAAAUUUUGAAGCAAAAUUAGUGGAUAAAGUUAAAAGUUUGUUAACUUUUUCUACUAGUUGAAAAUUACUACCACUAACUUUGGCGUUCAGAAUGCUUACAUUGAAAUUAAAGGAACAAGCUUCUACGUUAAUUGAACCCAAAAAAAUUAUUCUACUAAUUUCGAGGUUCCAAAUGAACCUUAAAGAUUCAUUCAGAACCUC